GAUUUCUGGCAUGGUGUGCCUGGCCCGCGCCGUUCGGUUGCGAGUGUUGGGUGGCGCCUGCCAUCUGUCUAGAGCGCGGCUCUACCCCUCACGGGGCCGGAGCUUGCCAUCUAGACCUUUUACUUUGAAAAAAUUAGAGUGUUUCAAGCAAGCUUCUGCUGUGAAUACAUUAGCAUGGAAUAAUCAGCUAGGACUUCGGUUCUAUUUGGUUGGUUUCUAGGACUGAAGUAAUGAUUGAUAGGGAUAGUUGGGGGUGCUAGUAUUCAGCGGCCAGAGGUGAAAUUCUCGGAUUCGCUGAAGACUCACUAAUGCGAAAGCAUU
RNAcentral lists this ribosomal RNA (321 nucleotides) under uncultured Glissomonadida. RNAcentral's name for it is "SSU rRNA". The stretch from base 109 to 321 matches the Rfam family "Eukaryotic small subunit ribosomal RNA", at positions 741 to 955 of the family's 1831-position model. The record is from RNAcentral. Lineage: Eukaryota; Cercozoa; Glissomonadida.